This 132-nucleotide small RNA is filed under the name Thioalkalivibrio halophilus. RNAcentral's name for it is "Manganese sequence". The stretch from base 12 to 118 matches the Rfam family "Manganese Mn2+ riboswitch aptamer (yybP-ykoY)". From Rfam's summary of the family: This RNA was originally discovered in E. coli during a large scale screen and was named SraF. The record is from RNAcentral. Lineage: Bacteria; Pseudomonadati; Pseudomonadota; Gammaproteobacteria; Chromatiales; Ectothiorhodospiraceae.
UCAGGAAGCUCAGGGGAGUAGUCACCCCGUCCUUCGGCGACGGGGGCCUGCGUCAACAUCAUUGGCCCGCACGGGCCGUGGCGCAGGCAGCCGCAUCCGGCCCGACGAGACCUGUGGCAUGGAUCUCCGGCC